AGCAGCGUAGCUCAGUGGAAAGAGCAUGGGCUUAGGAGUCAGCGUCAUGGGUUCGAAUCCCGGCUCUGCCA
Molecule: transfer RNA, 71 nt
Filed under: Ornithorhynchus anatinus (platypus)
Lineage: Eukaryota; Metazoa; Chordata; Mammalia; Monotremata; Ornithorhynchidae
Rfam family: tRNA
About the family: Transfer RNA (tRNA) molecules are approximately 80 nucleotides in length. Their secondary structure includes four short double-helical elements and three loops (D, anti-codon, and T loops).
Source: Rfam by way of RNAcentral